CAAGACGUAGCUUAACCCAAAGCAUUCAGCUUACACCUGAAAGAUAUCUGCCCCCAACAGAUCGUCUUGA
Molecule: transfer RNA, 70 nt
Filed under: Manorina melanocephala (noisy miner)
Lineage: Eukaryota; Metazoa; Chordata; Aves; Passeriformes; Meliphagidae
Description: tRNA-Val
Source: RNAcentral